Molecule: ribosomal RNA, 253 nt
Filed under: uncultured bacterium
Lineage: Bacteria
Description: partial 16S ribosomal RNA
Rfam family: Bacterial small subunit ribosomal RNA
Source: RNAcentral
UACGUAGGGUGCAAGCGUUGUCCGGAAUUAUUGGGCGUAAAGAGCUCGUAGGCGGUUUGUCGCGUCUGCUGUGAAAACUCGGGGCUUAACUCCGGGCCUGCAGUGGGUACGGGCAGACUAGAGUUCGGUAGGGGAGUGUGGAAUUCCUGGUGGAGCGGUGAAAUGCGCAGAUAUCAGGAGGAACACCCGUAGCGAAGGCGGCACUCUGGGCCGGAACUGACGCUGAGGAGCGAAAGCGUGGGGAGCGAACAGG